CACCGGGCGACCCAAUAACUUUAUUUCAAUUUGCGGUUCAGUUACGCCAGUCCGUAGUUUCAGCAGCCGGUUACUCUCCUUGAGUUAUCUCUCUGCGCGCUCUCUCUAUCGAAUCUCUAAGAUGGGUCUUCAUACUUCCAACCGGGUUAUCUCUCCAUCAUCUUCUUCCUCAUCUUCAUCUCAUCCGCCCAUUCCUUUUAUCUAUCCGGUGUUGCUCCCCGUGAUUUCUCAAGGGUAUUCAUCUCUCUCUCUCGAUUUCACCGUAUACAUAUAGUAGGUAUGAUGAGACCAUUAUGAUUUACUGCUGUAUGGUUCUACUUGGAUCUGGGUUUUUAGUUUGCAGAUCACUCUUAUAUACUGUUGUACCCAUAUGCUACAAUGUACUGUUCAAUUUGCUGUUCAGUUAUGCCAGUCCGUAGUUUCAGCAGCCGGUUACUCGAGCGAUUUCGAAAUUCCACACACCUCUGACGAGGCUAUCUUCUGAGAACGAGACGCUCUUCUCAUUCCGAUCCACAUUCAGAGUAGUGGCCAUGGAUAAUGGUCGGUUUGCAUAUUCUUCUCAUUGUGUUACAAAAUGUCCGGGCAGUUAUUUUUUAACUUAGUUUGCAGGCAGCAGGUAUCACCACGAUGGAAGCAUAACUGAUUCAAAACUGCUGUCCGUCUUCACCGCCUGCUGAUUUUGAGUCUAUCAUUGUUUUGUGUAUGUUUUCUUCAGUGGAGCAGAAAGGUCGUAAGCGUGUUCCUUUGGGCACUCUGUCUCCUUCUUCAGUACGUAAUGGACACGUCACACGCAGGAUAUGUCUUGCGCUUCUAACAAGUAUGAGUAUGGGAUUGACGUUACUCAAUUGACUGAGAACAGUUAUCCAUAUACUGGACAGUUUACCAGUGGCAGUAUAACACCGGUUCCCACUACGUCUUCCAAGCGUGACCACCCUAUGUUCCAUAUAUCCAAGUAUCAUUCCAACUACAAGCUCUGUAAUUGGUCGUGGUGUUGCACUUGAUUCGAAGCCACCAGGACAACGGAGACGUUGUUCACAUAAUGAUCAUACUGAUCCUAUUGACGUUUUGUUUCCCCAACCACUGCAGUAUACUCUUUGUGAUCCAACUAAUUUGCAUUUUUCUAUUCAUGUGACAUACUUCUUUUGAGGCUGAUUUAGAAAUUAAAAAACAAUAUCACCACCGGAUCGGAAUCAUCCUGAAAAUUGUGACUGAUUCCUGCACUUCAUCCACUAGCAUCUAACAGGACAGUGCCAGUUUCGCGUUCUGAAACUCCAACUCAUGCUGAUAAGAUUUGCCAACAACUUUCCCACUCCGUGCAAUGUUCAGGUUCUCAUUCAUCUGCUAAUGAGGCUUCUUUGAUUUGCGUGAAAAUGCUCAUCCGAAUACAGCAACAUAAGGGUUCACGUUUAGUAACUCCAACUAUUGCUGGCAAGACUUACCCUGUACCCUACCAACACUCCGAAGCUGCAGGUUCUGGGAUUACGGCUGCUACACCGAACGAAUUAAUCAGAUUGGUGGGUUCAAGCAAACGGCUCAAGCACAUGGUUUUUAUGUCAAUUAGAAGCUUUUGAAAUGUAAGUUGCAUAAUAUAUAACAAAAGAGAGUAACUCCCAAGUAGAACAGCAGCACAUUGACCAGCUAGAAGAAAGGAAGUGUCGAUUGAUACCAAAAGCCACCAGUGCCAGCUCUUAAAUCUGUUUAGACACAAUUGAAUUAAUGUAAUUCCAUGGUGCAUCAAUUUUCGAGCUCCACUACCUUCCAUUUAAAGAAGUUGGGGGAAAAGUGAUGGGAAGAAUUAUAUAGAGAUAGCAACAGACUAAAACAAUCCUCUACAAUUCUUCAAGAAAACCAUGUCACAAUCUAUUGGUUUAAUGUGAUUGGAGUUAUUGAGAACUACCACCAUGUUCAGGAGAUCGAUACAGUUAUGGACCGAGAAAUAUCGUUAAGUUCAGGAUAACAGAUGAAAGGAAAGUGUGUUUCGAGUCUACUAACCACUGUCUACUUGAUGAACAAUUCUUUAUGGGUUAUUUCGUCUCAUGUGUCUAUGACUGUCCAGGUACUCAAGCACUGUGACUAUAUGGGGUGAUCAGGCAUUGACUGCACAAGAGGAAAAGGAUAAGAUUUGCCUUUGAGACCUCUGCCGUCAAAGUCUCACAAGGCGGCGACAACCCGGGAACUGCUAGGUCUUCUUCAAAGAGAGUUAAAUUGGAAAAAUAGACGUAACUUUCUCCUUGCAAAAGGUCUGCUGGAAAUGAACACUCCUUGCUCCAACUGGAUGGGGAGGUCAUCCUCGCAACCUCAGUGGCUAAUUUUUCAAUCUUAUUCGAAAUUUGAAUCUAUUCGCAAUGGAUGUUAGUUAACUAAAUUAUUAGUUAUGUUUUUACAGAACUUAUUGAAUGAUGAUUCGGAUUAUUUAUUAUUAUAUUCUUGAUGAA
Long non-coding RNA from Daucus carota subsp. sativus, 2435 nucleotides. RefSeq lists it as uncharacterized. The record is from RefSeq and is a predicted model, not a curated record. The transcript has 13 exons. Lineage: Eukaryota; Viridiplantae; Streptophyta; Magnoliopsida; Apiales; Apiaceae.